Molecule: long non-coding RNA, 311 nt
Organism: Nerophis lumbriciformis (worm pipefish)
Lineage: Eukaryota; Metazoa; Chordata; Actinopteri; Syngnathiformes; Syngnathidae
Source: RefSeq, a predicted model, not a curated record
CAGGCUGGCAGCUUACAAGCCAACCGGCGGCGGUAAUGGAUGAGACGGCGGCGGAAGAUUGAGGAUGUCCGCCUCACCUCGGAGGGCAAAGCCAUCAGGGGGUUCAAGUGUCGCCUUCAAGACAACAAUCAGGAAGUAGCAGAAAGACCUAGUAGGUGUCGUUUUGAGGGCAGAUGAAGACGUGGAAGCAGGCAGUCAAAGCCCAGAAGCUGCUUCAUCUCCACCGUGAAGUCACACGCUGACAUUGUUGGCAUCUUUUGGCUUUGUCCUCACAAGAUCCUCUCCAAGGUCUUCAUAUCUCAACAUCCCAG